Podarcis lilfordi (Lilford's wall lizard) is the source of this 72-nucleotide non-coding RNA. Lineage: Eukaryota; Metazoa; Chordata; Lepidosauria; Squamata; Lacertidae. The record is from the annotation of a GenBank genome assembly.
GGGCUAUAGCUCAGUGGUAGAUUAUCUGCCUUGCAUGCAGAAGGUCUCAGGUUCAAUUCCCCGGCAUCUCCA